RNAcentral lists this transfer RNA (79 nucleotides) under Acidobacteriota bacterium. Its description in RNAcentral is "tRNA-Arg". It matches the Rfam family "tRNA". Rfam says of the family: Transfer RNA (tRNA) molecules are approximately 80 nucleotides in length. Their secondary structure includes four short double-helical elements and three loops (D, anti-codon, and T loops). The record is from RNAcentral. Lineage: Bacteria; Pseudomonadati; Acidobacteriota. RNAcentral also lists the same sequence under 4 other names.
GGGCCCGUAGUCUAGUACGGAUUAUGACACUGGCCUGCGGAGCCGGAGGUCCUGGGUUCAAAUCCCAGCGGGCCCGCCA